This 253-nucleotide ribosomal RNA is filed under the name uncultured bacterium. RNAcentral's name for it is "partial 16S ribosomal RNA". It matches the Rfam family "Bacterial small subunit ribosomal RNA", at positions 524 to 776 of the family's 1533-position model. The record is from RNAcentral.
UACGGAGGGUGCAAGCGUUAUCCGGAUUCACUGGGUUUAAAGGGUGCGUAGGAGGGCAGGUAAGUCAGUGGUGAAAUCUCCGAGCUUAACUUGGAAACUGCCGUUGAUACUAUCUGCCUUGAAUAUUGUGGAGGUGAGCGGAAUAUGUCAUGUAGCGGUGAAAUGCUUUGAUAUGACAUAGAACACCUAUUGCGAAGGCAGCUUACUACGCAGAUAUUGACGCUCAUGCACGAAAGCGUGGGGAUCAAACAGG